GUUUGUAUGUGUGUGGAUGGUGUUCAGCACCAGGGACAGGUUUGUAUGUGUGUGGAUGGUGUUCAGCACCAGGGACAGGUUUGUAUGUGU
This 90-nucleotide microRNA precursor is filed under the name Branchiostoma floridae (Florida lancelet). RNAcentral describes it as "mir-2060 microRNA precursor family". It matches the Rfam family "mir-2060 microRNA precursor family". The record is from Rfam by way of RNAcentral. Lineage: Eukaryota; Metazoa; Chordata; Leptocardii; Amphioxiformes; Branchiostomatidae.